GGGGCGAGCGCCUCCCUGAGCUGGGCUUCCCUGAUUCCUUGCUGAUGACAGAGCCAUUCUCACUGGGCGACCUGCUGGAAGUAACCAUAGCAACAGGGAGAUGGGAAAGGUAUGAAUGAACACAUUUCUGGGGAGAAACUCCAACUCUGCUUCACUCUUUCAUCCACUUAUGAACUUAUGUUUACAUGGAGCCAUCAACCCAAACUUCUGGUCAAAAACAUAAGACCCAUUCUGAGAGGUUAUGCAGGCCACAACCAGCAGGAAUGAGGAGACUGAUGUGGCAAGACGGAAACGCCAGAAAAAUAAAUGCAACGUGGGUUUGGUUUUGGUUUCAGCAUCUUAAUAUCUUCCCAAAUGAAUUGGACUCCCGUGGUCAGCUGAACUGGAACAGAGGACAGUAGUGAACUUGACACAAGCAAAGAUUUGAGAAGUGUUGCCCCUGGGGGCUUGUUUUCUUGUGGUACAUGGAACACCCUGUGAGACAACCUGCGAGAAAUCCAGAGCUGGCCUGCUGGAGGAUGAGAGACCAUGUAGCCCCAGUUACCUGACCACCCCAGACAAGGUUAUCACCAACAAGCCAGCCUGGCCAACCUACCACCUGACUACAGACACAUGAGUGAGCCCAGCUGAGAUUAGCCAAGCCCAUCUUAGCCCAGAACCACCACCCUGAGCUGAGCCCAAACUUCUGACCCACCAAAAAUCAGGAGCUAAAUAAAAGGCUGCUAUUUUAAGCUGCUAA
This is a long non-coding RNA of Herpailurus yagouaroundi (jaguarundi), 739 nucleotides long. RefSeq lists it as uncharacterized. The transcript has 4 exons. The record is from RefSeq and is a predicted model, not a curated record. NCBI's taxonomy places the organism in Eukaryota, Metazoa, Chordata, Mammalia, Carnivora, Felidae.